RNAcentral lists this ribosomal RNA (469 nucleotides) under uncultured anaerobic ammonium-oxidizing bacterium. RNAcentral's name for it is "bacterial SSU rRNA". It matches the Rfam family "Bacterial small subunit ribosomal RNA", at positions 365 to 824 of the family's 1533-position model. The record is from RNAcentral.
UUCGCAAUGCCCGAAAGGGUGACGAAGCGACGCCGCGUGGGUGAGGAAGGCCCUCGGGUUGUAAAGCCCUGUCAGGAGUUAAGAAAUGUAAGUGCGCUAAUAUCGCAUUUAUUUGACGAAGGCUCCAAAGGAAGCCACGGCUAACUCUGUGCCAGCAGCCGCGGUAAUACAGAGGUGGCAAGCGUUGUUCGGAAUUAUUGGGCGUAAAGAGCACGUAGGUGGGUUUGUAAGUCAGAUGUGAAAGCCUUCUGUUCAACGGAAGAAUUGCAUCUGAAACUGCAGGUCUUGAGUGUAGGAGGGGAGAAUGGAACUUCUGGUGGAGCGGUGAAAUGCGUAGAUAUCAGAAGGAACGCCGGCGGCGAAAGCGAUUCUCUGGCCUAUUACUGACACUCAGUGUGCGAAAGCUAGGGGAGCAAACGGGAUUAGAUACCCCGGUAGUCCUAGCCGUAAACGAUGGGCACUAAGUAGA